This 497-nucleotide ribosomal RNA is filed under the name uncultured bacterium. RNAcentral describes it as "partial 16S ribosomal RNA". It matches the Rfam family "Bacterial small subunit ribosomal RNA", at positions 28 to 507 of the family's 1533-position model. The record is from RNAcentral.
GAUGAACGCUGGCGGCGUGCCUAAUACAUGCAAGUCGAGCGAACAGACGAGGAGCUUGCUCCUCUGACGUUAGCGGCGGACGGGUGAGUAACACGUGGAUAACCUACCUAUAAGACUGGGAUAACUUCGGGAAACCGGAGCUAAUACCGGAUAAUAUCUUGAACCGCAUGGUUCAAUAGUGAAAGACGGUUUUGCUGUCACUUAUAGAUGGAUCCGCGCUGCAUUAGCUAGUUGGUAAGGUAACGGCUUACCAAGGCGACGAUGCGUAGCCGACCUGAGAGGGUGAUCGGCCACACUGGAACUGAGACACGGUCCAGACUACUACGGGAGGCAGCAGUAGGGAAUCUUCCGCAAUGGGCGAAAGCCUGACGGAGCAACGCCGCGUGAGUGAUGAAGGUCUUCGGAUCGUAAAACUCUGUUAUUAGGGAAGAACAAAUGUGUAAGUAACUAUGCACGUCUUGACGGUACCUAAUCAGAAAGCCACGGCUAACUACGUG